RNAcentral lists this non-coding RNA (182 nucleotides) under Lentisphaerota bacterium. RNAcentral's name for it is "Lentisphaerae bacterium (anaerobic digester metagenome) 6S RNA". It matches the Rfam family "6S / SsrS RNA". From Rfam's summary of the family: E. coli 6S RNA was the first non coding RNA to be sequenced, but its function was unknown until recently. It consists of 184 nucleotides that fold into an extended hairpin structure with a large single-stranded internal bulge. The record is from RNAcentral. RNAcentral also lists the same sequence under 1 other name. Lineage: Bacteria; Pseudomonadati; Lentisphaerota.
UCUUCCCUGCCUUGUACGACAGGGGCUUAGUUCUCCUACCCAACACGAUCCAAAUCGGGAGCUGGUGUUCGUUUGUGGACGGCAUGUCCGAUCCCCGGAAUCUCCGGUAAGCAGGCGACAGGUUCCCACCUUAUUCAACAAUAAGGUCAGGAGAUACGUCCCACCGGCAAGGCGGGGAUUUU